GGAUGUUAGCGGCGGACGGGUGAGUAACACGUGGGUAACCUGCCUGUAAGACUGGGAUAACUCCGGGAAACCGGAGCUAAUACCGGAUAGUUCCUUGAACCGCAUGGUUCAAGGAUGAAAGACGGUUUCGGCUGUCACUUACAGAUGGACCCGCGGCGCAUUAGCUAGUUGGUGGGGUAAUGGCUCACCAAGGCGACGAUGCGUAGCCGACCUGAGAGGGUGAUCGGCCACACUGGGACUGAGACACGGCCCAGACUCCUACGGGAGGCAGCAGUAGGGAAUCUUCCGCAAUGGACGAAAGUCUGACGGAGCAACGCCGCGUGAGUGAUGAAGGUUUUCGGAUCGUAAAGCUCUGUUGUUAGGGAAGAACAAGUGCGAGAGUAACUGCUCGCACCUUGACGGUACCUAACCAGAAAGCCACGGCUAACUACGUGCCAGCAGCCGCGGUAAUACGUAGGUGGCAAGCGUUGUCCGGAAUUAUUGGGCGUAAAGGGCUCGCAGGCGGUUUCUUAAGUCUGAUGUGAAAGCCCCCGGCUCAACCGGGGAGGGUCAUUGGAAACUGGGAAACUUGAGUGCAGAAGAGGAGAGUGGAAUUCCACGUGUAGCGGUGAAAUGCGUAGAGAUGUGGAGGAACACCAGUGGCGAAGGCGACUCUCUGGUCUGUAACUGACGCUGAGGAGCGAAAGCGUGGGGAGCGAACAGGAUUAGAUACCCUGGUAGUCCACGCCGUAACGAUGAGUGCUAAGUGUUAGGGGGUUUCCGCCCCUUAGUGCUGCAGCUAACGCAUUAAGCACUCCGCC
This 800-nucleotide ribosomal RNA is filed under the name Bacillus sp. (in: firmicutes). RNAcentral describes it as "bacterial SSU rRNA". It matches the Rfam family "Bacterial small subunit ribosomal RNA", at positions 87 to 873 of the family's 1533-position model. Lineage: Bacteria; Bacillati; Bacillota; Bacilli; Caryophanales; Bacillaceae. The record is from RNAcentral.